ACGGGUGAGUAAUGCCUAGGAAUCUGCCUGGUAGUGGGGGAUAACGUUCGGAAACGAACGCUAAUACCGCAUACGUCCUACGGGAGAAAGCAGGGGACCUUCGGGCCUUGCGCUAUCAGAUGAGCCUAGGUCGGAUUAGCUAGUUGGUGAGGUAAUGGCUCACCAAGGCGACGAUCCGUAACUGGUCUGAGAGGAUGAUCAGUCACACUGGAACUGAGACACGGUCCAGACUCCUACGGGAGGCAGCAGUGGGGAAUAUUGGACAAUGGGCGAAAGCCUGAUCCAGCCAUGCCGCGUGUGUGAAGAAGGUCUUCGGAUUGUAAAGCACUUUAAGUUGGGAGGAAGGGCAGUUACCUAAUACGUAAUUGUUUUGACGUUACCGACAGAAUAAGCACCGGCUAACUCUGUGCCAGCAGCCGCGGUAAUACAGAGGGUGCAAGCGUUAAUCGGAAUUACUGGGCGUAAAGCGCGCGUAGGUGGUUCGUUAAGUUGGAUGUGAAAUCCCCGGGCUCAACCUGGGAACUGCAUUCAAAACUGUCGAGCUAGAGUAUGGUAGAGGGUGGGUGGUAUUUCCUGUGUA
This 580-nucleotide ribosomal RNA is filed under the name Pseudomonas sp. StFRB471. RNAcentral's name for it is "bacterial SSU rRNA". It matches the Rfam family "Bacterial small subunit ribosomal RNA", at positions 102 to 677 of the family's 1533-position model. The record is from RNAcentral. Lineage: Bacteria; Pseudomonadati; Pseudomonadota; Gammaproteobacteria; Pseudomonadales; Pseudomonadaceae.